RNAcentral lists this ribosomal RNA (388 nucleotides) under uncultured bacterium. RNAcentral describes it as "bacterial SSU rRNA". It matches the Rfam family "Bacterial small subunit ribosomal RNA", at positions 356 to 741 of the family's 1533-position model. The record is from RNAcentral.
GAGGAAUAUUGGGCAAUGCCCGAAAGGGUGACCCAGCAACGCCGCGUGGAGGAUGAAGGUCGUAAGAUUGUAAACUCCUGUUAGAGGGGAAGAAUAACUAAGUUUGGAGCUUAGUAUGACUGUACCCUCAGAGAAAGCCCCGGCUAACUACGUGCCAGCAGCCGCGGUAAUACGUAGGGGGCAAGCGUUGUCCGGAUUUACUGGGUGUAAAGGGUGCUCAGGCGGAUUUGUAAGUCAGAGGUGAAAUCUUACAGCUUAACUGUGAAACUGCCUUUGAUACUGCAAGCCUAGAGUAUGGAAGAGAGUGAUAGAAUAACUGGUGUGGCAGUUAAAUGCGUAGAUAUCAGAUAGAACACCACUGGCGAAGGCAGUCACUUGGUCCAGUACU